GACGAACGCUGGCGGCGUGCUUAACACAUGCAAGUCGAUCGGAAAGGCCCUGCUUUUGUGGGGUGCUCGAGUGGCGAACGGGUGAGUAACACGUGAGUAACCUGCCCUUGACUUUGGGAUAACUUCAGGAAACUGGGGCUAAUACCGGAUAGGAGCUCCUGCUGCAUGGUGGGGGUUGGAAAGUUUCGGCGGGUGGGGAUGGACUCGCGGCUUAUCAGCUUGUUGGUGGGGUAGUGGCUUACCAAGGCUUUGACGGGUAGCCGGCCUGAGAGGGUGACCGGCCACAUUGGGACUGAGAUACGGCCCAGACUCCUACGGGAGGCAGCAGUGGGGAAUAUUGCACAAUGGGCGGAAGCCUGAUGCAGCAACGCCGCGUGCGGGAUGACGGCCUUCGGGUUGUAAACCGCUUUCGCCUGUGACGAAGCGUGAGUGACGGUAAUGGGUAAAGAAGCACCGGCUAACUACGUG
Molecule: ribosomal RNA, 468 nt
Filed under: uncultured bacterium
Lineage: Bacteria
Description: partial 16S ribosomal RNA
Rfam family: Bacterial small subunit ribosomal RNA
Source: RNAcentral